Molecule: transfer RNA, 75 nt
Filed under: Candidatus Peregrinibacteria bacterium CG1_02_41_10
Lineage: Bacteria; Candidatus Peregrinibacteriota
Also listed under: 1 other name
Description: tRNA-Arg
Rfam family: tRNA
About the family: Transfer RNA (tRNA) molecules are approximately 80 nucleotides in length.
Source: RNAcentral
GCCCCUGUAGUUCAACGGAUAGAACGCAAGCCUCCGAAGCCUGCAAUGCAGGUUCAAUUCCUGCCAGGGGCACCA